UGAAUACGAGACGCUAAGGCGUCGAAGUAGUGUAUGUCAUACUUCCAAGAAAAGCUUGCACUGUCAUAGAUAAAAAACGCCUGUACCAUAACCGACACAGGUGGGUAGGUAGAGUAUACUAAGGGGCGCGAGAUAACUCUCUCUAAGGAACUCGGCAAAAUAACUCCGUAACUUCGGGAGAAGGAGUGCCUUAUUCGUAAGGUUGCAAUAACAAGAUCCAAGCAACUGUUUAUCAAAAACACAGGUCUCCGCUAAGUCGUAAGACGAUGUAUGGGGGCUGACGCCUGCCCAGUGCCAGAAGGUUAAAGAAGUUGGUUAGCAAUUGCGAAGCUGAUAACUGAAGCCCUGGUGAACGGCGGCCGUAACUAUAACGGUCCUAAGGUAGCGAAAUUCCUUGUCGGGUAAGUUCCGACCCGCACGAAAGGCGUAAUGAUUUGGAUACUGUCUCGGAGAGGGGCUCGGUGAAAUAGACUUGUCUGUGAAGAUGCGGACUACCUGCACCAGGACAGAAAGACCCUAUGAAGCUUUACUGUAACUUGAAAUUGAAAUUGGACUUUAUUCGCGCAGUAUAGGUGGGAGGCGUUGAUUAUAAUCUUGUGGGAUUAUUGGAGCCAUCAGUGAGAUACCACUCUUGUAAUGUUAGAUUUCUAACUUUGAAUCAUUAUCUGGUCAAAGAACAGUUUCGGGCGGGCAGUUUGACUGGGGCGGUCGCCUCCCAAACGGUAACGGAGGCGUACAAAGGUUUCCUCUGAACGGUUAGAAAUCGUAUCUAGAGUGUAAAGGCAUAAGGAAGCUUGACUGUGAGACCUACAAGUCGAGCAGGGACGAAAGUCGGUCUUAGUGAUCUGACGGUACUGAGUGGAAAGGCCGUCACUCAACGGAUAAAAGUUACUCUAGGAUAACAGGCUGAUCUCCCCCAAGAGUUCACAUCGACGGGGAGGUUUGGCACCUCGAUGUCGGCUCAUCGCAUCCUGGGGCGGUAGUACGUCCCAAGGGUUGGGCUGUUCGCCCAUGAAAGCGGUACGCGAGCUGGGUUCAGAACGUCGUGAGACAGUUCGGUCCAUAUCCGGUGUAGGCGUUAGAAUAUUGAGAGGAGCCUUCUUUAGUACGAGAGGACCGAGAAGGACAUACCUCUGGUGUACCAGUUAUCGUGCCAACGGUAAACGCUGGGUAGCUAUGUAUGGAGUGGAUAACCGCUGAAAGCAUCUAAGUGGGAAGCCCACCUCAAGAUAAGUAUUCUCAUC
This 1244-nucleotide ribosomal RNA is filed under the name metagenome. RNAcentral's name for it is "bacterial LSU rRNA". It matches the Rfam family "Bacterial large subunit ribosomal RNA", at positions 1564 to 2818 of the family's 2925-position model. The record is from RNAcentral.